RNAcentral lists this transfer RNA (66 nucleotides) under Curculionoidea sp. 16 KM-2017. RNAcentral's name for it is "tRNA-Glu". The record is from RNAcentral. Lineage: Eukaryota; Metazoa; Arthropoda; Insecta; Coleoptera.
AUUUAUAUAAUUUAAAAUAAAAUAUUACAUUUUCACUGUAAAAAUAUACUUAAUGUAUUAUAAAUA